RNAcentral lists this ribosomal RNA (252 nucleotides) under uncultured bacterium. RNAcentral describes it as "partial 16S ribosomal RNA". It matches the Rfam family "Bacterial small subunit ribosomal RNA", at positions 524 to 776 of the family's 1533-position model. The record is from RNAcentral.
UACGGAGGAUGCGAGCGUUAUCCGGAUUUAUUGGGUUUAAAGGGUGCGUAGGCGGGCUUUUAAGUCAGCGGUAAAAAUUCAGGGCUCAACCCCGUCCGGCCGUUGAAACUGGGGGUCUUGAGUGGGCGAGAAGAAGGCGGAAUGCGUGGUGUAGCGGUGAAAUGCAUAGAUAUCACGCAGAACCCCGAUUGCGAAGGCAGCCCUCCGGCGCCCUACUGACGCUGAGGCACGAAAGUGCGGGGAUCGAACAGG